This 1016-nucleotide long non-coding RNA is filed under the name Homo sapiens (human). Its description in RNAcentral is "long non-coding RNA NONHSAT221247.1". The record is from RNAcentral. Lineage: Eukaryota; Metazoa; Chordata; Mammalia; Primates; Hominidae.
GACUAUUCCUAAAAGCCAAAUUUAACAACACAUCCAGCCUCAGACUCAGAAAAGAUGGAAGGUCAUAUAUAAAUUUUUUUAAAUGAGUGAAAAAGAGAGAAGAGGUGAAUAAAUGUGAGAACCAGGGAAAGCGAAUAAAAAGGAUACAAGGAAAGAUGAAGGGGAGAAUAAGGAGAAAUGGGACUCACAUACACUGAGGACCAAUAUUUGACCCAUUCACAGAUGCCAUCUCAUUUGUAAAACCAUCUCAUCUGAAAAUUUGGACUGGGUAUCCAAGGCAAGACACCUAACUAGAUGCCACCAGGAAGAACAUCUCCCACAAAAACAGACCAAAAUAUCCAGUAAAUCAGCAUACUCAGAACAGAUCAUCUGAAGGAAUGAACUAAAAGAGAUUAGAAAGACAACCCAGACACCAGGAUGAAAGGGAGAGGAAGCUGGGAAUCCUUCUUGGGGUUGCUGAAUAUGGGACAUGUUCCAGGCCCUGAAUGGCUCUGGAUUUGAUAACCAUCUCAUGUUGAUGGGCCUGACUUCAAGUGGAAGAAAAAAAAAAGAAAAGAAAACCUCCUUCUUUACUGUCAAAAUAACAAAUCAGGUCCCUGGACUUUGGGACUCAUUCUGCUCGACUUGAUCCCUGCUCUGCCCAUUGAUCACAUACACACGUUUACACCUGGCAGAAGAGGAAGAGGAGGCAUGAAGGAAUGGCCUCUUCAGAAUGGAGAAAAGUUAAUUAUCCUGUGGAGUGCUCUGAAGAAUGUGGAGAGAAAGCCUUCCCCAUGAGAACAUGCCUAAGACAGACUGCUGAAGAAGGCGGCAAAUGGAACAGCGCUGAAUCAGCCUGGUCAUCCCAGUCAAGCCUCCAGACAUGUAAGCACCCUCCUCUGAUCUGCAGAGCUGCCUGGCCCAAAUACUGUUGACCACUCUUGAGUAAGCCCCACCAAGAUCAGCUGAGAACAGUAGAACUGACCAGAUGACUCUAACCUCAUGAAUAAAUCCAAGUGUUUUUUUAUUUGCCUCUG